UAUAGACGCUUCAUCAUCAACCAUGUGGACAAAUGAUUUGUCUGCAGAAGUCAUCAAUUUUACACAAUCAUGGAGGUCUCUGUCUGACUUGGACAGCUGGCUAAGACCGAUCAUUCCCCUCCUACGCA
Peromyscus californicus insignis is the source of this 128-nucleotide non-coding RNA. RefSeq annotates it as small Cajal body-specific RNA 3. Lineage: Eukaryota; Metazoa; Chordata; Mammalia; Rodentia; Cricetidae. The record is from RefSeq and is a predicted model, not a curated record. The transcript has a single exon.